Molecule: ribosomal RNA, 208 nt
Filed under: uncultured bacterium
Lineage: Bacteria
Description: partial 16S ribosomal RNA
Rfam family: Bacterial small subunit ribosomal RNA
Source: RNAcentral
CGUGUAGGCGGUCCGGUAAGUCCGCUGUGAAAGUCGGGGGCUCAACCCUCGAAAGCCGGUGGAUACUGUUGGGCUAGAGUGCGGAAGAGGCGAGUGGAAUUCCUGGUGUAGCGGUGAAAUGCGCAGAUAUCAGGAGGAACACCAAUUGCGAAGGCAGCUCGCUGGGACGUAACUGACGCUGAGACGCGAAAGCGUGGGGAGCAAAACA